This 460-nucleotide ribosomal RNA is filed under the name uncultured bacterium. RNAcentral describes it as "partial 16S ribosomal RNA". It matches the Rfam family "Bacterial small subunit ribosomal RNA", at positions 338 to 795 of the family's 1533-position model. The record is from RNAcentral.
CCUACGGGGGGCUGUAGUGAGGAAUAUUGGUCAAUGGACGAGAGUCUGAACCAGACAAGUAGCGUGAAGGAUGACUGCCCUAUGGGUUGUAAACUUCUUUUAUAUGGGAAUAACAUGUUCCACGUGUGGGAUUUUGUAUGUACCAUAUGAAUAAGGAUCGGCUAACUCCGUGCCAGCAGCCGCGGUAAUACGGAGGAUCCGAGCGUUAUCCGGAUUUAUUGGGUUUAAAGGGAGCGUAGGUGGAUUGUUAAGUCAGUUGUGAAAGUUUGCGGCUCAACCGUAAAAUUGCAGUUGAAACUGGCAGGCUUGAGUACAGUAGAGGUGGGCGGAAUUCGUGGUGUAGCGGUGAAAUGCUUAGAUAUCACGAAGAACUCCGAUUGCGAAGGCAGCUCACUGGACUGCAACUGACACUGAGGCUCGAAAGUGUGGGUAUCAAACAGGAUUAGAUACCCGAGUAGUC